GGCCCCGCGGUCGCGCCGCACCCCCGGUUCCCGGCUCCAGCCUGACGGCGGAGUCCGGCCGGCAGCGGGCGAAGCCCAGAAGGACGGCAAAGAAGGCUUCAUAAUCCACAUGUGCUUCUUCCUCUGCUGUGAGCAGAACCCUAACACACUGCAGAUGGGACACAUUCCAUGGAUUCAGGAUCUUAGAGCUUCCAUAGAGGAAGAAGGAGCACUCCCCCCACCAUGAGGCUGAAGGGCAGGGAAAGGAUGGCCAGCCACCCCUGCCUUAAGAGUCAGGGUGCAGACCCAGCAUCUCAGAAGCACAAGUCCCAGAUUUGAGCCAUCUCACACUAUGGAGCACAUGGUAGUCCUGGGAAGCUGGAUGGAGGAACAACUUUGAGGCAACAGUGCAGAGAGACCUCCAGAGACCUUUCAAAUCAGAGAGGUAGGAAAAGCAGCAUCUGAGUUUAUGAACUCAGUCGGCUAAUCCUCUAUGGACACUUGCCUUUGCUAUGUGAUACAGACUGCUUGGCACACUCAUGCUUACAGCACCCAGAAGGAGAUGUUUCCACUGGACAGACGAGCCACUCCAAUCAGGCACACACCCUGCCUUACCAGCCACCUCCACCCACUCUUGGUGUGUCUGCCAGAGCCUUGGGAUACAUCCUGGCUUCUCCCUAUGAGGAGGAGGCCAACAGGCAGCCAAGCACUGUCCAGGACCAUCUCUGAGGUGAAGGAGGGAGGCACAGACCAGCCAAGUGGGUGUCCCACAGCUGCAUGAUGUGUUACCAGGGGCUGAGACCACAUGCUGGAAAUGAGGUUACAAGAGGAGACAAAAACAUGUUGCUAGGAAGAAGAAACCUGUACAGCAGGACCAGAUGACA
Long non-coding RNA from Calypte anna (Anna's hummingbird), 863 nucleotides. RefSeq lists it as uncharacterized. The transcript has 3 exons. The record is from RefSeq and is a predicted model, not a curated record. Lineage: Eukaryota; Metazoa; Chordata; Aves; Apodiformes; Trochilidae.